Molecule: transfer RNA, 72 nt
Filed under: Prototheca zopfii
Lineage: Eukaryota; Viridiplantae; Chlorophyta; Trebouxiophyceae; Chlorellales; Chlorellaceae
Description: tRNA-Cys
Rfam family: tRNA
About the family: Transfer RNA (tRNA) molecules are approximately 80 nucleotides in length. Their secondary structure includes four short double-helical elements and three loops (D, anti-codon, and T loops).
Source: RNAcentral
GGCGGUAUAGCUAAGUGGUAAGGCAAUAGAUUGCAAAUCUAUAUAUCCUCAGUUCGAUUCUGAGUGCCGCCU